GAGGAAUAUUGGUCAAUGGGGGCAACCCUGAACCAGCCAAGUCGCGUGAAGGAUGAAGGUCUUAUGGAUUGUAAACUUCUUUUAUACAGGAAUAAAUUGGGGGACGUGUCCCCUUUUGCAUGUACUGUAUGAAUAAGGAUCGGCUAACUUCGUGCCAGCAGCCGCGGUAAUACGGAGGAUCCGAGCGUUAUCCGGAUUUAUUGGGUUUAAAGGGUGCGCAGGCGGAUGUUAAGUCGGCGGUGAAAUUUUGCAGCUCAACUGUAAAAGUGCCUUCGGUACUGGCCUCCAUGAGUGUGGAUGAAGUAGGCGGAAUUUGUGGUGUAGCGGUGAAAUGCGUAGAUAUCAGGAGGAACACCGGCGGUGUAGACGGCUUGCUAGACCAUAACUGACGCUGAGGCACGAAAGCGUGGGUAGCAAACA
This 420-nucleotide ribosomal RNA is filed under the name uncultured bacterium. RNAcentral describes it as "bacterial SSU rRNA". It matches the Rfam family "Bacterial small subunit ribosomal RNA", at positions 356 to 774 of the family's 1533-position model. The record is from RNAcentral.